GCACCCAUUCACUGCAGAGCAUCCAUUGAUGAGACAUUUUCAUUUUUGGCUGAAUUCUUUUAAUAUGAUUUCCAUUCUAUUAGUCAUUAAAAAAAAAUGUAUAAAAACCUUUAACUACCAAAAAAAGCACUUUCUUAAUGACAUCAUCCUGCAGGAAGUGACAUCAUUUACUGGCGGGAAACCAGCAGCACAAACAUCAGAAGCGGAAGUUCAUCACUCAGCGCCGCGACUACGCAGUACAGCAGCGCCAAGCGUGAUCUGGCCCUGAGUCAGUUUUGUAACAAGUGUGUGCUGGCGGGUCGUUUUGAGUUCUGU
Molecule: long non-coding RNA, 315 nt
Organism: Carassius carassius (crucian carp)
Lineage: Eukaryota; Metazoa; Chordata; Actinopteri; Cypriniformes; Cyprinidae
Exons: 3
Source: RefSeq, a predicted model, not a curated record